AUUGGACUGAAGUAAAAUAUUUAUUUAAGAAGCAUUUCAAUUUGUAUGGCUAUGUUUCAACUAAAGUAGAGGUUAAUCAAUGCAAAAACAGUUACUAUUCUGGUACAGAGUGCUAAAUUAGGAGCAGUCAGUGUGGAAAUCAGUUGGGUCUGUCAAUAUUUAGCACUUUCCCCCAUAAUAGCACCUGUUUUGUCUUGAUAAAUUUCCCCUAAAGGUUCGUGUGACAGCUAGAAUAUUUGUUUUACAGUUUGCUCUAUGUAUUGCUUAGGUAACCUGUCAAAUAAAUAAUAGUUCUUUAAAAAGGCACUGACAUGUUCCACAUAUGGCGGUUAGUGUACUAGCGGAAAAAAAGCAUGUUUACGAUCCUGCUCGAUGUAAUCAGAGCUAGGCAGGGACCAGAAUAACUAUUACUUUAGCUUCUCCUGAGCUAACACUAAUAUGAUUCCCCUGCUUUAACCUCCAGUUUUCAACUAUAUCUUCAAUCAUCUGCUAUGAAAUAACUUUUCACUAAAAUUUUAAAAAGAUUGCUGAGCUCAACCUUUCAUAUAUUUAGAAUCCUUCUUAACCAACAGGCUAUGUAAAACACAAAAUAGCAAUUCUGUUGUAAAGUCUACAUGCAUCACAACAAG
This is a non-coding RNA of Pelobates cultripes (western spadefoot toad), 629 nucleotides long. NCBI's taxonomy places the organism in Eukaryota, Metazoa, Chordata, Amphibia, Anura, Pelobatidae. The record is from the annotation of a GenBank genome assembly.